This 70-nucleotide transfer RNA is filed under the name Flavobacteriales bacterium 34_180_T64. RNAcentral's name for it is "tRNA-Ser". It matches the Rfam family "tRNA". From Rfam's summary of the family: Transfer RNA (tRNA) molecules are approximately 80 nucleotides in length. Their secondary structure includes four short double-helical elements and three loops (D, anti-codon, and T loops). Lineage: Bacteria; Pseudomonadati; Bacteroidota; Flavobacteriia; Flavobacteriales. The record is from RNAcentral.
GUUGUCAUAGGAUAGUAUAGAAACCUGACUCAUAAUCAGGUGGUCCUUGGUUCGAGCCCAAGUGGGACCA